UCGGGAAUAUUGCGCAAUGGAGGAAACUCUGACGCAGUGACGCCGCGUGCAGGAAGAAGGUUUUCGGAUUGUAAACUGCUUUAGAUAGGGAAGAAAAAAAUGACAGUACCUAUAGAAUAAGCUCCGGCUAACUACGUGCCAGCAGCCGCGGUAAUACGUAGGGAGCGAGCGUUAUCCGGAUUUAUUGGGUGUAAAGGGUGCGUAGAUGGAUAAACAAGUUGGUUGUGAAAUCCCUCGGCUUAACUGAGGAAUUGCAACCAAAACUGUAGAUCUUGAGUACUGGAGGGGAAAGCGGAAUUCCUA
This 303-nucleotide ribosomal RNA is filed under the name uncultured bacterium. RNAcentral's name for it is "bacterial SSU rRNA". It matches the Rfam family "Bacterial small subunit ribosomal RNA", at positions 355 to 672 of the family's 1533-position model. The record is from RNAcentral.